RNAcentral lists this ribosomal RNA (253 nucleotides) under uncultured bacterium. Its description in RNAcentral is "partial 16S ribosomal RNA". It matches the Rfam family "Bacterial small subunit ribosomal RNA", at positions 524 to 776 of the family's 1533-position model. The record is from RNAcentral.
UACGGAAGGGGCAAGCGUUGUUCGGAAUCAUUGGGCGUAAAGGGCGUGUAGGUGGUUCUGUAUGUCUACCGUGAAAGCGUACGGCUCAACCGUAUUUAGUCGGUAGAAACUGCAGGACUUGAGGCUGGGAGGGGCUGGUGGAAUUCCCCGUGUAGCGGUGAAAUGCGUAGAGAUUGGGGAGAACACUCGUGGCGAAGGCGGCCAGCUAGACCAGUUCUGACACUGAGGCGCGACAGCGUGGGGAGCAAACAGG